This 315-nucleotide small nuclear RNA is filed under the name Carlito syrichta (Philippine tarsier). RNAcentral's name for it is "7SK RNA (ENSTSYG00000021384.2)". It matches the Rfam family "7SK RNA". Rfam says of the family: 7SK was discovered as an abundant small nuclear RNA in the mid-70s but a possible function has only recently been suggested. Two independent studies have found that 7SK RNA binds the CDK9/cyclin T complex (known as elongation factor P-TEFb). P-TEFb activates transcription by phosphorylating the C-terminal domain of RNA polymerase II. The record is from Rfam by way of RNAcentral. Lineage: Eukaryota; Metazoa; Chordata; Mammalia; Primates; Tarsiidae.
GGAUGUGAGAGUAAUCUGGCUUGACAUCUUGUCACCUCAUUGACUGCCAGGGUUGAUUCAGCUGAUCUGGCUGGCUAGGUGGGUGUCUGCUUCCUCCCGCAUCAAUCUAUGUAUGUCUCUACAGAAGCUUCUACUUGAUAGAAGAGGAUGACCUGCCCCUAUUGAGGAGGACUGUUUUCAGUCAAGAGUCAGCGAGUAGCUGCGCUCCCCUACUAGAAGCUUCAAAAAGCUUUCAAAGAGGUGAUAGGUCUUGAGGGAGCUUGUAGGUGAGUGCAAAGACUUAGGCUUUUUCUCUGAGUAGAAUUAGAAGGCUUU